GCUCCCUGGUAAAUCCCACCGGGUACUGGUCACAUCUCUGUUGAAGUGCUUUAUAUUUCAGGAAGUUCCUGGAGCAGUGGGGCAGGUAACUUGAUCAUGUGGUAUUUGACUGUAGAAGAUCACUUUCUCAUGGAAUAAUGGCAUCUGAUUAAAAAAAUUCAAUGUAGGGGAUCUAGAGGUGACCAGGUCCACUGUCUUAGAACAUCCCUUGCCUUCCAUGGUUCCACAGGGGAUACUGCUCCCCUAGGAGGCACUCAGCUCUCAAUCAGAUUAGCUUGCUCAGCUUGCUAUUUUCAGCUUGGGUAGUGGAAGGGUGGGCAUGUUCCUGCCACACUCAGUGCUCAAGGUGAAAGCUAUCCUAGGAUAUUCAGGAUAGAGAUUUUUAUCCUUCAUGGUCU
This 398-nucleotide long non-coding RNA is filed under the name Bos taurus (domestic cattle). RNAcentral describes it as "long non-coding RNA NONBTAT015793". The record is from RNAcentral. Lineage: Eukaryota; Metazoa; Chordata; Mammalia; Artiodactyla; Bovidae.